This 384-nucleotide long non-coding RNA is filed under the name Capsicum annuum. Its description in RNAcentral is "long non-coding RNA (CANN_LNC000751)". The record is from RNAcentral. Lineage: Eukaryota; Viridiplantae; Streptophyta; Magnoliopsida; Solanales; Solanaceae.
AGGGAAAAGGCAUCAUUUCCACCCCAUACUAUACAAGAAAAGUCUAAGCCACACCUAAAUUAUAUAAGUGACCUAUUACACACCUUAACUAUAUAAAAGUGAUAUUAUUACCUCCCCGCGACCCCCAUUCUAAGGCGCGUGUGUUACACUGAUUUUAGGCGCGUCCAGCCUAUUAAAUAACAAAAGUAAACAGCUAAAAACAUUAAGGGAAAAGGCAUCGUUUCCACCCCAAACUAUAGUCGAAAAGUCGAAUCCACACCUAAACUAUAUAAGUGACCUAUUACACACCUUAACUAUAAAAAAAUGAUACUUUUUACUGACGUGGUGCUGACGUGGCAGCGCGUGUAAAACACUACACCACAUGCAAGUGGUAGUAGCCUGACA